CGGACCGGCGCACGGGUGAGUAACGCGUAUGCAACUUACCUAUCAGAGGGGGAUAACCCGGCGAAAGUCGGACUAAUACCGCAUGAAGCAGGGGCCCCGCAUGGGGAUAUUUGCUAAAGAUUCAUCGCUGAUAGAUAGGCAUGCGUUCCAUUAGGCAGUUGGCGGGGUAACGGCCCACCAAACCGACGAUGGAUAGGGGUUCUGAGAGGAAGGUCCCCCACAUUGGUACUGAGACACGGACCAAACUCCUACGGGAGGCAGCAG
This 264-nucleotide ribosomal RNA is filed under the name uncultured bacterium. RNAcentral's name for it is "partial 16S ribosomal RNA". It matches the Rfam family "Bacterial small subunit ribosomal RNA", at positions 91 to 354 of the family's 1533-position model. The record is from RNAcentral.